AUACUUACCUAGACAAGGUCUAUAAAUGAUCAACGAAACUCAUGGCCUAGGUUAGCAACCUCCAUUGCACUAUGGAGUGGUGUUACCAUCUCCAUAGGAGAGUGGAUGCCAUAAAUUGUUGUAGAUGGGGUAUGCGCUUAUGUGGGCCCUAC
RNAcentral lists this small nuclear RNA (152 nucleotides) under Sorghum bicolor (sorghum). RNAcentral's name for it is "snRNA U1". It matches the Rfam family "U1 spliceosomal RNA". Rfam says of the family: U1 is a small nuclear RNA (snRNA) component of the spliceosome (involved in pre-mRNA splicing). Its 5' end forms complementary base pairs with the 5' splice junction, thus defining the 5' donor site of an intron. There are significant differences in sequence and secondary structure between metazoan and yeast U1 snRNAs, the latter being much longer (568 nucleotides as compared to 164 nucleotides in human). Lineage: Eukaryota; Viridiplantae; Streptophyta; Magnoliopsida; Poales; Poaceae. The record is from Rfam by way of RNAcentral.